This 353-nucleotide ribosomal RNA is filed under the name Shigella boydii. RNAcentral's name for it is "bacterial SSU rRNA". It matches the Rfam family "Bacterial small subunit ribosomal RNA", at positions 1 to 350 of the family's 1533-position model. The record is from RNAcentral. Lineage: Bacteria; Pseudomonadati; Pseudomonadota; Gammaproteobacteria; Enterobacterales; Enterobacteriaceae.
AAAUUGAAGAGUUUGAUCAUGGCUCAGAUUGAACGCUGGCGGCAGGCCUAACACAUGCAAGUCGAACGGUAACAGGAAUCAGCUUGCUGAUUCGCUGACGAGUGGCGGACGGGUGAGUAAUGUCUGGGAAACUGCCUGAUGGAGGGGGAUAACUACUGGAAACGGUAGCUAAUACCGCAUAAUGUCGCAAGACCAAAGAGGGGGACCUUCGGGCCUCUUGCCAUCGGAUGUGCCCAGAUGGGAUUAGCUUGUUGGUGGGGUAACGGCUCACCAAGGCGACGAUCCCUAGCUGGUCUGAGAGGAUGACCAGCCACACUGGAACUGAGACACGGUCCAGACUCCUACGGGAGGCA